UACGGAGGGUGCGAGCGUUAAUCGGAAUUACUGGGCGUAAAGGGCGCGUAGGUGGUUUGAUAAGUCAGAUGUGAAAUCCCUGGGCUUAACCUGGGAAUUGCAUUUGAUACUGUCAGACUAGAGUGUGGUAGAGGUAAGCGGAAUUCCCGGUGUAGCGGUGAAAUGCGUAGAUAUCGGGAAGAACAUCAGUGGCGAAGGCGGCUUACUGGAUCAACACUGACACUGAGGCGCGAAAGCUCGGGGAGCAAACAGG
RNAcentral lists this unclassified non-coding RNA (253 nucleotides) under uncultured Gammaproteobacteria bacterium. RNAcentral's name for it is "contains 16S-23S intergenic spacer region". It matches the Rfam family "Bacterial small subunit ribosomal RNA", at positions 524 to 776 of the family's 1533-position model. Lineage: Bacteria; Pseudomonadati; Pseudomonadota; Gammaproteobacteria. The record is from RNAcentral.